RNAcentral lists this long non-coding RNA (1461 nucleotides) under Equus asinus (donkey). RNAcentral's name for it is "lncRNA (ENSEASG00005034196.1)". Lineage: Eukaryota; Metazoa; Chordata; Mammalia; Perissodactyla; Equidae. The record is from RNAcentral.
UCUUGGAAUAGUGUGCUUUAAUCAGUAACACAUUGCUUCUUUUCCUUCCUGGACAAAAUUAAGAGCAGAGAUUCCCCAGCCAGCAUGGAGAAGGAGAACUGGACCAUGGUGAGGGAGAGCCUUCUGACAGGGAGGCAGCCACCAGAGCCCUUUGGGGCCUCCUUGUCUUGAUUUUGUAUUGUCCUAUGUGAUGACUGUCCUUGAAAGUGCCCUCAUCUUUACCAGGAUUCUUGUGGAUUAUAGGCUUCACUCACCCAUAUAUUUCUUCCUUAGCCAGCUGUCCUGUCUUUCAUUGAAAUGUUAACCACGACCUGUGCUAUUCCCAAGAUGCUGACAGGCUUCCUCUCAGAGAGGAAGAGCAUCUCAUUUGGUGAAUGCUUCGUGCAAGUCAUUUUUCUACUUCCUCUUUCGAUGCACUGAGUUUGUCCUUUUUUCUGUGAGGUUCUAUGACUGCUAUGUGGCCAUUUGCAGCCUCCUUUAGUACCGGGUGAUUAUGACCAGCUUGUUUAGUGUCUAUCUUGUCAUCCUCUCCUGGAUGGAUGACUUUUUCUUCAUCCUCCCAUCUACUGUCCUUAAGGCAGGACUGCCAUACUGUGGCCCCAGUGUGAUUGAUUAUUUUUUCUGUAACAGUACCCACUUGCUCCUCUAGGCCUGUGCUGAAAUCCCUGUCAUCGAGCUGUUGGACUUCCUCAGCUCCUUUGUCCUACUCAUCAGCUUCUUUACCUCACAGUGGUCUCCUUUGUUUACAUCAUCUCUACCAUUGUGAAGAUACCCUCAGGCCAAGGUCAACAUAAAGCCUUUGGCACCUGUGCCUCUCACUUCCCUGUGGUCUCCAUGGGCUAUGGGAUCUCCAUCCUUGUCUAUGUCUGGCCCUCACAGAAGUGCAGCCUGCAUCUUAACAAGAUCCUUUUAUCCUCUCCAGUGUCAUCACAUCACUCCUGAAUUCCUUCAUCUUCAGUCUACAGAAUGAAUCCAUGAAAGACGGAUUGAAAGUCAUCUUGGCUAAGGGCCAGAACUUCCUCAGGGGAAUGAGAUCCAAGUGAUAGUGUAUUUGAAUGAUCCCAAACCUGGGCAUUCCUAGCCUUACAGAGAGUUUUAUGCUCCGUUUGUUUGCUGUAGCUGCUUCAUUGUACUCCAGAGCUCUCCCAGAGAUAUUUUUGUUGAUUGUUCAGUUUAACAAUGCCAGCUUUCUGGGGUUAUGCCUCCAGUAAUGACAAAUCUCACGUUUGUGACAGAAUAUACCCUCACAGGAUUUUCGACCAAUAAAAAUAUGUACAUUUUGCAUUCAGUGCUCUUCUCCUUGAUUUAAUUCUAUGCCCUCAUGGGAAAUGUCUUCAUCAUCAUGAUCACAACUUUGGACCAGCAUCUCCACACCUCCGUGUACUUCUUCUUGAAGAAUUUAUCCUUCUUGGAUCUCUGCCUAAUAUCAAUCACAAUUUCUACAUCCACUGCCAACUCUUU